Molecule: small nucleolar RNA, 107 nt
Organism: Sorghum bicolor (sorghum)
Lineage: Eukaryota; Viridiplantae; Streptophyta; Magnoliopsida; Poales; Poaceae
Rfam family: Plant small nucleolar RNA R71
About the family: R71 is a member of the C/D box family of snoRNAs containing the C (UGAUGA) and D (CUGA) box motifs.
Source: Rfam
AUUCCAUGAUGGGGACAUUCUAAGAUGUAGUCUUGAAAGUGCUCCCAUGCUUCUGGAACAGACUCGUCAAGUUGUUGCUUAAAGCUCAAAAUUUUCCCACGGAGAGC